UAAGGAAUAUUGGACAAUGGAGGCAACUCUGAUCCAGCCAUGCCGCGUGAAGGAAUAAGGCCCUAUGGGUUGUAAACUUCUUUUAGACGGGACAAAACCCCUUUACGUGUAAAGGGUUGAUGGUACUGUCAGAAUAAGCAUCGGCUAACUUCGUGCCAGCAGCCGCGGUAAUACGAAGGAUGCAAGCGUUAUCCGGAAUUAUUGGGUUUAAAGGGUGCGUAGGCGGACUAAUAAGUCAGUGGUGAAAGCCUGCAGCUUAACUGCAGAAUUGCCAUUGAUACUGUUAGUCUUGAGUACAGUUGAGGUAGGCGGAAUGUGUCAUCUAGCGGUGAAAUGCUUAGAUAUGACACAGAACACCGAUUGCGAAGGCAGCUUGCUAAGCUGUAACUGACGCUGAGGCACGAAAGCGUGGGGAGCAAACA
Molecule: ribosomal RNA, 422 nt
Filed under: uncultured bacterium
Lineage: Bacteria
Description: bacterial SSU rRNA
Rfam family: Bacterial small subunit ribosomal RNA
Source: RNAcentral